RNAcentral lists this ribosomal RNA (253 nucleotides) under uncultured bacterium. Its description in RNAcentral is "partial 16S ribosomal RNA". It matches the Rfam family "Bacterial small subunit ribosomal RNA", at positions 524 to 776 of the family's 1533-position model. The record is from RNAcentral.
UACGUAGGGGGCUAGCGUUGUUCGGAUUUACUGGGCGUAAAGCGCACGUAGGCGGAUCUUUAAGUCAGAGGUGAAAUCCCAAGGCUCAACCUUGGAACUGCCUUUGAUACUGGGGAUCUUGAGUCCGGGAGAGGUGAGUGGAACUGCGAGUGUAGAGGUGAAAUUCGUAGAUAUUCGCAAGAACACCAGUGGCGAAGGCGGCUCACUGGCCCGGUACUGACGCUGAGGUGCGAAAGCGUGGGGAGCAAACAGG